Acipenser ruthenus (sterlet) is the source of this 974-nucleotide long non-coding RNA. RefSeq lists it as uncharacterized. The record is from RefSeq and is a predicted model, not a curated record. The transcript has 5 exons. NCBI's taxonomy places the organism in Eukaryota, Metazoa, Chordata, Actinopteri, Acipenseriformes, Acipenseridae.
GAGACACUGCUCAUCCACAACUAAUCAGGCUUAUAUGAAUAUGGCUCAUUCCUUCCUGGGAAGAAUAAAGAAUAUAAGAAUAUAACACUCGCUGCACAGAGAAGAAGUAAACAAAGCCGAACUACUCCGUUUUUUUUAUUUUAGGGAUGAAAAAACUAACUGCUUAUAAUACGUAAGAUUAUAAAACAAUUACCACAAUGUAACAGAUCCACUCUUUUCAUUGCCACCCUCUAGAUUUGACCAAAAUCCAGUCUAUUCACCCAGGGGGGUGUUGUGAAGAGGGGAUCCAGCUUUUGUUUAUUCAUAGAAGAGUAGGGUGCCUUCAUUCUUUUUCACAGGGACCUUGAGGACUGAAGCACACUUGAUCCUUUGCUUAUCUGUUUGCGCUCCAGCAAGUUGGAAUGACGCCUCAGAGACUGCUAACUGAGAAGGAUUACACAGGGUGGAUUUUUCACAGAGCACUGGUAAGGCUGAGCAGCAGAAACUGGCUUUACGAACCACAACAUGGGACAAGCCUUCCCUUUUUCCAUAUGUUUCCAUGUGGAAGAAAUCCAAGUGAAGACCUCAGAUAUUUAUAACCCCUCCCCAGCUGAAUGGCAGCUUUCCUCCUCUACAGAUGUAUUACACUGCAGGGUCCUCGUCUUCUCAAGAGCCCCUCUGAGAUGCAAUGGAUUGUUUUAAAAGGAUAUCCUGCCUCAACCCAGACGAGUCACAGACUGCAGUGACGACAUUAGCCAGGACAGGACAGGAGACAGACAAAGCAUGGGGCUGUGCACUGAGCUAAAGUCAGAGGCAUAGCCAAUCAGGAGAAAAGCACCAUGAGAAAACAGAAAGCUCCGAGGCUGGGAGCAGGAAUGUAAGUAUGGAAAGUGAACUCCUGAAUCCAGCUAUCAGGAAUCCUGCCAAGCAUUUGAGGAUAGACUGAGGGGUAAGGGCUGGAAACACCUAGCACCAAAUUUCAAACAAGCUCCCAA